This 374-nucleotide ribosomal RNA is filed under the name uncultured organism. Its description in RNAcentral is "partial 16S ribosomal RNA". It matches the Rfam family "Bacterial small subunit ribosomal RNA", at positions 526 to 896 of the family's 1533-position model. The record is from RNAcentral.
GUAGGUGGGCAAGCGUUGUCCGGAAUUAUUGGGCGUAAAGCGCGCGCAGGGCGGUCCUUUAAGUCUGAUGUGAAAAGCCCACGGCUCAACCGUGGAGGGUCAUUGGAAACUGGGGGACUUGAGUACAGAAGAGGAAAGCGGAAUUCCAAGUGUAGCGGUGAAAUGCGUAGAGAUUUGGAGGAACACCAGUGGCGAAGGCGGCUUUCUGGUCUGUAACUGACGCUGAGGCGCGAAAGCGUGGGGAGCAAACAGGAUUAGAUACCCUGGUAGUCCACGCCGUAAACGAUGAGUGCUAAGUGUUAGGGGGUUUCCGCCCCUUAGUGCUGCAGCUAACGCAUUAAGCACUCCGCCUGGGGAGUACGGCCGCAAGGCUG